AUACGUAAGAUCCGAGCGUUGUCCGGAUUUACUGGGCGUAAAGGGUGCGUAGGCGGCGUGGUAAGUCUCAUGUGAAAUCUCCCGGCUUAACUGGGAGGGGUCAUGGGAUACUGCCAUGCUCGAGGGCAGUAGAGGAGAGCGGAAUUCCGGGAGUAGCGGUGAUAUGCGUAGAUACCCGGAGGAACACCCGUGGCGAAAGCGGCUCUCUAGGCUGUACCUGACGCUAAGGCACGAAAGCGUGGGGAGCAAACCGGAUUAGAUACCCCAGUAGUCC
This 274-nucleotide ribosomal RNA is filed under the name uncultured bacterium. RNAcentral's name for it is "partial 16S ribosomal RNA". It matches the Rfam family "Bacterial small subunit ribosomal RNA", at positions 523 to 796 of the family's 1533-position model. The record is from RNAcentral.